CCUCCCCCUAAAUUUUCUUCUGUCAAUUAUAAAUACAGAUGUUUUACAUAUACCCCAGAUUGUAAUGCCACUUAAAAUAGAACUAAAAUUUAAACAAGUAACAGGACAGAAAUCGCUUUUGUGUGUAAUUAUCUAUAAUGGAUAGUUAGUUACUGGCCUUGCUUUAUAAUUGAUGAAAAUAACUGUCAAUAUCAUAAGUAAAUAAACUGAUUAAUAUGACUAGAAUGUUUAAUAGAUGAGUGAAUGUGCAGUAGAUUUUAUAUACAACUACACAAGUCAAGAAAUAGCAUUACACAUCCUUAAAUGUUUACUUGCACUCAUGUAUUUUUAAUCCAUUAGGAUUUGUGGAAAUUUUAUUCCAAUAGUAUUCACAA
This 374-nucleotide long non-coding RNA is filed under the name Mytilus galloprovincialis (Mediterranean mussel). The record is from RNAcentral. Lineage: Eukaryota; Metazoa; Mollusca; Bivalvia; Mytilida; Mytilidae.